Molecule: unclassified non-coding RNA, 200 nt
Filed under: Humicola sp.
Lineage: Eukaryota; Fungi; Ascomycota; Sordariomycetes; Sordariales; Chaetomiaceae
Description: partial internal transcribed spacer 2
Source: RNAcentral
UUAAGUUCAGCGGGUCUUCCUACCUGAUCCGAGGUCAACCUUGGGUAAAUAAGGCUUUUAACGGCCGGAACCCGCAGCACGCCCUGAGCGAGAUGUAUUACUACGCUCGGAGUGACUAGCGAGCCCGCCACUGGUUUCAGGGCCUGCGGCAGCCGCAGGUCCCCAACACAAGCCGGGGGCUUGAUGGUUGAAAUGACGCU